This is an RNA transcript of Ricinus communis (castor bean), 7031 nucleotides long. It is a transcript of the gene named helicase and polymerase-containing protein TEBICHI, with no coding region annotated. The record is from RefSeq and is a predicted model, not a curated record. The transcript has 29 exons. Lineage: Eukaryota; Viridiplantae; Streptophyta; Magnoliopsida; Malpighiales; Euphorbiaceae.
UAAAAACUAAAAUGCUUUUGUAUCUCUAGGUGGGGUCAUCAAAUAGGAGACGCGCACUACUGUCACUUGGCGCUCGCUGUAAGAAUUUGAAAGGCCAGGCGACGUCGUAUCAACAAAUCCCCCCGCGGCCCCCCCGGCGUCACCACCGCGAGAAAAUAACUAGGGUUUGCAGAUUCUUGGGAAAUUUUCUAUUUCAUUUAUCCAUGGAAUCUGACUCAUCUCGAAUACGGAUCAAUCAGUUUUUUGCUUCGAAAAAGAGGAAAGCUUUAUCUCCUGGUUUGAAGUACGGGAUUGAAAAAGAGGCAACAAUAACGUCAGAUGGGUCUCCUAAUGCGAAAGGCACUUUGGACAAUUACUUGGUAAAUUCGCAGGAUCAGAAUCGUGGUCUGUUGUCCAGGCAAGAUUCAGUUAAAAGAAAUCUGGCAUUGGAGAUUAAUGAACUCUCGAAAGAUGAAAAAAUGGAUCCCUGUUCAGUUGCUAAAUUGGACUCUCAAAAUUCUGAAGGAGCUGGAACUAUUAAGAAGGAAACCUCUCAAGGUUCAUGUAAUGCAGGCCAUGUUGCAGUUGAAGGUUGCUCAGUUCCAAGGCAGAGUGCAGAAAGCUCGGAACUUAAACAGUUUGCAAAUGAUUUUUUGUCUUUGUACUGCAGUGAACUCCAAUCGACAGCAACUUCACCGUCUAAGCCAAAGUUGAAUGACCAUAAGAGACAUGGUAGUCCAUUGUUGGUGGAUGACAGGGAUAAAACAUCAAAGAAGAGGCAUUGUGAUUGUGUAACCAGCCAGUCACUUUCAGAAGGUGAAACUGCUUUCUUUUUUGAGAAAAAGGCAGAAAACAAACAAUCUGCUAUCAUUGCAACAGCUGAAAUGCCACUUUACCAUGUGUCUAGAGAGGCUACGGUUGUUAAUGACCCCAUUAAGCUUCAAGCAAGCUUGAGAAAAUGCAACAGAGUGUCUAGGUUACCUGCUGGUAUGGCUGAAUGCUCUACGCCAGGCUCAUCAAUUGUUAAAUCACUUGUUCGUGAAACACCCAGGUCAGCACGUGGAAGCUCCAUGUUUUCACCAGGAGAAGCAUUCUGGAAUGAGGCAAUUCAAAUUGCUGAUGGUUUAUUUUCUGAAGCUGGUAAUCCUCUUGCUUUGGGUGCUGAUGAUGUUAACAAAGAAAGUUGCAGUGACAAGUCGAGGCAAAUGUUGGAUGAAUCAGGCAGCAGAAUUCAGCAGAUGGCAAAUAGCUGUUCUUUGGAGUUAUUUAGGGCACAUAUGAGAGAUUCUAUUAAAAAAUCUUCUACAUUGCCUGUCAAAAAUCUUGAUCUUUUGUUUCAGGACAAAAACUUGGACACAACUUCCCCAUUCCGCACAGCAGAUGAUUCAGAUAUGCUCAAGGGCGGUGAACAGUCUGAAUGUGGUUCUGUAAAUAUCAAAUGCAUUCGAACUGGUAAAAUUGCAACUUGUAAUGAAGUUCAAACAAAAGAAGAGAUGCACGACGUGCAAAAGACUGAGUCUAUUUAUGCAAUGACAAAAAGGGAAGCAGAUUUGCUACUUCAAUAUACUGAUAGCAUUAUGCCUAAUUCACCAAUUAAUGAAAUUAGGAAUCCUGUUGCUAGUGCAUAUGGUGAAGCAGACACUCCUUCAAGUUUUGUGCCACUGAAAGACAGAUUAGAUCUUGUUAAUUGGCUUCCUGCAGAAGUAUGCAGCAUAUAUAAAAGGAGAGGAAUUUCAAAACUGUACCCUUGGCAGGUUGACUGCCUUCAAGUGGAUGGAGUUUUGCAGAGAAGGAAUCUUGUAUAUUGUGCAUCUACAAGUGCUGGUAAAAGUUUUGUUGCUGAGAUUUUGAUGCUGCGGCGGGUCAUAUCAACUAGGAAAAUUGCAUUCCUUGUGCUUCCUUAUGUAUCAAUCUGUGCAGAAAAGGCUGAAUAUCUGGAGGGCCUUUUGGAACCACUUGGUAAGCAUGUUCGGAGUUAUUAUGGGAACCAAGGUGGUGGAAUACUUCCUAAAGAUACUUCUGUGGCUGUAUGCACUAUAGAAAAAGCAAACUCUUUAAUAAACAGAUUGCUAGAAGAGGGUCGUUUAUCAGAAAUUGGAAUCAUUGUGAUAGAUGAACUGCACAUGGUGGGUGAUCAGAACAGGGGUUACCUUUUGGAACUCAUGUUGACAAAGCUUCGUUAUGCUGCUGGUGAAGGCAACUCAGAAUCUACUAGUGGUGAAAGCUCAGGUACAAGCAGUAAGGGUGAUCCUGCUCAUGGCCUGCAAAUUGUUGGCAUGAGUGCAACAAUGCCAAAUGUGGCAGCAGUUGCGGAUUGGCUUCAAGCAGCAUUUUACCAAACAAAUUUUCGACCUGUUCCACUAGAGGAGUUUAUUAAAGUUGGCAACACCAUUUAUGACAAGAAAAUGGAUAUUGUUAGAACAAUUCCAAGAGCAGCUGAGCUGGGUGGUAAGGAUCCAGAUCAUAUUGUGGAACUAUGCAAUGAGGUUGUUCAAGAUGGCCAUUCAGUGUUAAUAUUUUGCUCUAGUCGAAAAGGAUGUGAAUCAACUGCCAAGCAUGUCUCCAAAUUCCUGAAGAAGUUUUCUGUCAAUGUUCAGAAUAAUAGUGAGUUUCUUGAUAUUGCCUCAGCUGUUGAAGCUUUGAGAAGAUCUCCCGUGGGAUUGGAUCCUAUACUUGAAGAAACUCUUCCUUCUGGUGUUGCAUAUCAUCAUGCCGGCCUCACAGUUGAGGAAAGAGAAAUUAUUGAAAGCUGUUAUCGUAGAGGCCUUUUACGAGUUUUGACAGCUACAUCUACCUUAGCUGCUGGCGUUAACCUGCCUGCGAGGAGGGUCAUUUUCCGACAACCCAGGAUUGGCCGUGAUUUUAUUGAUGGGACUAGGUAUAGACAGAUGGCGGGUAGGGCUGGUCGGACUGGGAUUGAUACUAAAGGAGAAAGUAUACUUAUUUGCAAACCAGACGAACUCAAAAGAAUCAUGGGACUGCUUAAUGAAAACUGCCCGCCAUUGCAGUCUUGUCUCUCUGAAGAUAAAAAUGGAAUGACUCAUGCAAUUUUAGAGGUUGUGGCUGGUGGAAUUGUUCAAACUGCUAAUGAUAUUCACCGAUAUGUUAGAUGUACUCUCCUCAAUUCUACAAAACCAUUUAGAGAUGUCGUGAAGUCAGCCCAGGAUUCUCUUCGAUGGUUGUGUCACAGAAAAUUUCUUGAUUGGUGUGAUGAUACAAAGUUGUAUAGCACCACACCACUUGGACGUGCAGCUUUUGGCAGUUCUCUUUGUCCAGAAGAAUCACUUAUUGUGCUGGAUGAACUUUCUAGAGCAAGAGAAGGAUUUGUUCUUGCAUCUGAUUUACAUCUUGUGUACUUAGCCACACCAAUCAAUGUUGAGGUUGAACCAGAUUGGGAAUUAUACUAUGAAAGGUUCAUGGAGUUGUCCCCUCUUGACAAGUCUGUUGGAAAUCGGGUUGGAGUUUCAGAACCAUUUUUGAUGCGUAUGGCUCAUGGGGCACCAAUGCGCAUGCUGAACAGAUCAACUGACAAUAUGAAAGGGCUGCCUGGAAAGUUAGAAAAUCAACAUGGGAAGUCAAAGAACAGUAUAAUUUCAGAUGAGCAGUCACUUAGAGUGUGCAGGCGAUUUUAUGUUGCUCUUAUUCUAUCAAGGCUAGUGCAGGAAACACCUGUAGCUGAGGUUUGUGAAGCUUUUAAGGUUGCUAGAGGCAUGGUUCAAGCCUUACAAGAAAACUCUGGAAGGUUUGCAUCUAUGGUUUCUUUGUUUUGUGAAAGACUUGGAUGGCAUGACGUGGAGGGCUUGGUUUCUAAGUUCCAAAGUCGUGUUUCAUUUGGAGUGAGAGCAGAAAUUGUGGAGCUUACCACUAUUCCAUAUGUUAAGGGUUCUCGAGCAAGAGCACUAUAUAAGGCAGGCCUGCGUACGCCUCUGGCUAUUGCUGAAGCAUCUGUCUCUGAAAUUGUUAAGGCUAUUUUUGAAUCUUCAUCAUGGACAGCACAAGAAGGUUCUGCGCAAAGGCGCUUACAAUUGGGAGUUGCGAAGAAAAUCAAGAAUGGUGCACGCAAAAUUGUUCUUGAAAAAGCUGAAGAGGCAAGAGUUGCUGCUUUCUCAGCUUUUAAAUCUCUUGGACUUGACAUCCCUCAGUUUUCUCGGCCAUUAUUAAUGAACACUUCUGUAGAUAAUGCUGAGAAACAUGCUGCAAGUAACUUAUCUGAAGAUGGCACCACCAAUGUCAUCGUUUCUUUGGAGCAAACAGACCAUACUUCAUAUGACUUGUGCAUAGAAGGGAGUAAGAAGCCUGCUGAAGUUACUUUGGAAAGUGAAGGAGACAAGUUAAUUAAAACAAUAGAUGUUGUCUUAGAGGCUUCAGCAGAAACAAAUUCAACUGGUCUGGUGCAAUCUAAUAUUGGUGCUGAAAAUUCUAAGGUAGUGGAUAGAAAGUCUUUGCCUACAGGUAAUCAUAAUGCAAAUGCAGUUGUCGUCCUAUCUGUCGAGUCAGAACAAGAUGGUGAUGGAACUGGGACACACCAGAGGAAUAUUCUCAGGGAGGUACAUGAGCAAUGUAGUAGACAAAAUUUGUCCAGUGACAACAUGGAAAAUGCUUGUGAGAAGGGCCCUAUUAAGGCAAGUAAUAUUUCUGGUGGAUUAGAUAGUUUCUUGGUUCUCUGGGAUGCUGCCCAAGAAUUCUAUUUUGACCUCCAUUAUAAUAAAAGAUCAGAAGUAAAUUCUGUUGCACCUUAUGAAAUACAUGGUAUGGCCAUAUGUUGGGAAAACUCUCCUAUAUACUACGUCAAUCUUCCAAAAGAUCUAUUAUGCCCUGAUAAUCAAAAAUAUGUUCUACGACCUGAGAAUUGGCUGGAGAUAGUUAGGCAUAGAUGGAAUCGAAUUGGUAAAAUAAUGGGGAAAAGGGAGGUCAUAAAGUUUACUUGGAAUUUAAAAAUUCAGAUUCAGGUGCUCAAGAAUGCUGUAGUUUCUAUUCAUAGAUUUGGGUCCACAAAUCUUUCAGGGAAAGAUUUGGAUCUUGAACUCAUAGACAGUUCUCACUUGCCAUUGCCCCAAAUUAAUGUUACCGAAGGAAUUGAUAUGUGCAUUGUGGCAUGGAUUCUUUGGCCUGAUGAGGAGAGAAGUUCUAAUCCAAACCUUGAGAAGGAAGUCAAAAGAAGGCUACCCACUCAGGCUGUUGCAGCUGCUAAUAGGAAUGGCAGGUGGAAGAAUCAGAUGCGAAGAGCUGCUCAUAAUGGUUGCUGUCGUCGGGUUGCACAAACACGAGCUCUGUGUUCUGUUCUUUGGAAGUUACUUAUUUCUGAGGGACUUGUUGAAGCACUUAAGAAAAUUGAGAUGCCACUGGUUAAUGUUCUCGCAGAUAUGGAGCUUUGGGGGAUAGGUGUUGACAUGGAGGCAUGCCUUCGAGCUCGUAAUGUGCUGGGGAAAAAACUAAGGCAUCUUGAGAAGAAGGCAUACGAGCUGGCUGGCAUGACAUUUUCACUGUAUACAGCAGCGGAUAUUGCAAAUGUGCUCUAUGGACGCCUGAAGCUGCCCAUACCAGAGGGGCAUGGCAAAGGGAAACUACAUCCAAGUACAGACAAACAUUGUUUGGAUUUGUUAAGAAAUGAGCAUCCUAUAAUUCCAGUCAUCAGAGAGCACCGCAUAUUGGCAAAGCUUUUCAACUGUACACUGGGUUCAAUCUGUUCACUGGCUAGGCUAUCUGUGAGGACGGAGAAGUACACACUGCAUGGCCGUUGGCUCCAGACAUCUACUGCAACUGGGCGGCUUUCAAUGGAAGAACCUAAUCUUCAGUGUGUUGAGCAUAUGGUCGAAUUCAAAAUUAGUAUGGAUAAAAAUGGAGGUGAUGCUGAAGCCAAUAAUUAUAAGAUAAAUGCUCGUGAAUUCUUCAUUCCUACUCAGGAAAAUUGGUUGCUGUUAACAGCAGAUUAUUCUCAGAUAGAAUUGCGGCUAAUGGCACACUUUUCUAAGGAUGCCUCAUUAAUUGAACUUCUUAGUAAGCCACAUGGUGAUGUUUUCACCAUCAUAGCUGCAAGAUGGACUGGGAAGGCAGAAGAGUCCGUUGCAUCGCUUGAGCGAGAUCAGACCAAAAGGUUGGUGUAUGGAAUUCUUUAUGGAAUGGGUGCUAACACACUUGCACAACAGCUGGAAUGCAGUUCGGAUGAAGCUGCAGAAAAAAUUAAAAGCUUCAAAAGUUGUUUUCCUGGAGUUGCUUCCUGGCUUCAUGAAGCAGUUGCAUCCUGCCGUAAAAAUGGUUAUGUGGAGACCCUCAAGGGAAGGAAACGCUUCUUGUCAAAAAUUAAAUUUGGAAACAGUAAAGAAAAAUCAAAAGCUCAGAGACAAGCAGUUAAUUCUAUCUGUCAGGGAUCUGCUGCUGAUUUAAUCAAGAUCGCUAUGAUUAAUAUAUACUCUGUCAUUGCGAGAGUUGAUGGACCAGACCCAAGCUCUUCACUUGCAACUAAGUUUCACAUGCUGAAGGGACGGUGCCGAAUUCUUUUGCAGGUACACGAUGAACUAGUUUUGGAAGUUGAUCCCCCUGUGAUCAAGGAAGCUGCAUCAUUGUUACAAGCAGGCAUGGAAAAUGCUGCAUCGCUUCUUGUGCCUUUGCAAGUCAAACUGAAAGUUGGAAGAUCAUGGGGUUCUCUGGAGCCUUUCCAGGUUGAUCCAUGUGUAAAUGGAGUUUACGUGAUUGAUUCUUAAAGUAGCAAAAUUGUUCUUGGAAAUGAGGGGUCAGUAUGAUGUUGGGGGGUGAAGUUUGAUGACCAUUUGAACUAGUGUGUCUAAACAAUGCUUAAUAUGCCUGGUCAUGUUUCCGGUCAUACAUUCCUGAGGGAAAGGGUGUUUUGUGUCACAGUUGCUUGCUGUCAGAGCAACAUAAGUCUGGAAUGAUCAUAAGAGCCACAAUUAACCAACCAGAUUGGUAUGGUGAUAGUGCUAGUGGUUAUUCCUAAUAUCACGGGAGUCUGAUAAUUUCAGGACGCAUAGGAAGAUGACAACAGAAGGAUAUAUUUAUUACUGCACACUGCUAAAGCAAACUUUGAAAGUAUGUAG